This 301-nucleotide ribosomal RNA is filed under the name uncultured bacterium. RNAcentral's name for it is "partial 16S ribosomal RNA". It matches the Rfam family "Bacterial small subunit ribosomal RNA", at positions 509 to 807 of the family's 1533-position model. The record is from RNAcentral.
CAGCCGCCGCGGUAAUACGUAGGCAGCGAGCGUUGUUCGGAAUUACUGGGCGUAAAGAGUGUGUAGGCGGUGCUCUAAGUUCGGUGUGAAAUCUCCUGGCUUAACUGGGAGGGUGCGCCGGAAACUGGAGUGCUCGAACGUGGGAGAGGAAAGCGGAAUUCCUGGUGUAGCGGUGAAAUGCGUAGAUAUCAGGAGGAACACCUGCGGUGUAGACGGCUUUCUGGACCAUUGUUGACGCUGAGACACGAAAGCGUGGGUAGCAAACAGGAUUAGAUACCCGUGUAGUCCCUGUCUCUUAUAC